UGGGGAAUAUUGCACAAUGGGCGCAAGCCUGAUGCAGCCAUGCCGCGUGUGUGAAGAAGGCCUUCGGGUUGUAAAGCACUUUCAGCGAGGAGGAAGGCGUUAAGGUUAAUAACCUUGGCGAUUGACGUUACUCGCAGAAGAAGCACCGGCUAACUCCGUGCCAGCAGCCGCGGUAAUACGGAGGGUGCAAGCGUUAAUCGGAAUUACUGGGCGUAAAGCGCACGCAGGCGGUUUGUUAAGUCAGAUGUGAAAUCCCCGAGCUUAACUUGGGAACUGCAUUUGAAACUGGCAAGCUAGAGUCUUGUAGAGGGGGGUAGAAUUCCAGGUGUAGCGGUGAAAUGCGUAGAGAUCUGGAGGAAUACCGGUGGCGAAGGCGGCCCCCUGGACAAAGACUGACGCUCAGGUGCGAAAGCGUGGGGCAGCAAACAGGAUUAGAUACCCUGGUAGUCCACGCUGUAAACGAUGUCGAUUUGGAGGUUGUGGGCUUGACCCGUGGCUUCCGGAGCUAACGCGUUAAAUCGACCGCCUGGGGAGUACGGCCGCAAGGUU
Molecule: ribosomal RNA, 549 nt
Filed under: uncultured bacterium
Lineage: Bacteria
Description: partial 16S ribosomal RNA
Rfam family: Bacterial small subunit ribosomal RNA
Source: RNAcentral